UACACGCUGUGACUAGCAUAUCAAUAAGCGGAGGAAAAGAAACUAACAAGGAUUCCCCUAGUAACGGCGAGUGAAGCGGGAAGAGCUCAAAUUUGAAAUCUUAAAGGGUUUCCCUUUACGAAUUGUAGUUUAAAGAAGUGUUUUCUGUUGAGGUUUUGGUAAAAGUUCUUUGGAAUAGGACAUCAUAGAGGGUGAGAAUCCCGUAUUUGACCUUCACUUUCAACUUUGUGAUACACUUUCAAAGAGUCGGAUUGUUUGGGAAUGCAGUCCAAAAUGGGUGGUAAAUUUCAUCUAAAGCUAAAUAUUGGCGAGAGACCGAUAGCGAACAAGUACCGUGAGGGAAAGAUGAAAAGAACUUUGAAAAGAGAGUUAAACAGUACGUGAAAUUGUCAAAAGGGAAGCGUUUGACACCAGUGUUGUUUUUCUGAAAAUCAAUUAAAGAACUGUUUAUGCUAAGCUGUUUAGACUUUAUCAGCUAUCUGUUUAGUUUUGAGCUUUUCUUUAAUGCACUUUUCAGUUAACAAGUCAACAUCAAUUUCUUUUGCUGUAAAAAAGCUUGAGGAAGGUGGCUUGAGAUUCGUCUUAAGUGUUUAUAGCCUCUUGCCUAUGCAGUCGGAGAGAUUGAGGUCUGCAGCGUAGAUCCUUCGGGGCUAAAUGCAUUUGUGCUAAGUUAUAGCAUUUUAUAGACAACUUGUUGACUAUGAUUUGUCUUGUAGCUUACUCGCUUAUGUUAUUUUACCUACGCUUAGGAUGUUGAAGAUGUAGCACAUCAU
RNAcentral lists this ribosomal RNA (773 nucleotides) under uncultured Neocallimastigales. RNAcentral's name for it is "partial large subunit ribosomal RNA". It matches the Rfam family "Eukaryotic large subunit ribosomal RNA", at positions 22 to 635 of the family's 3401-position model. Lineage: Eukaryota; Fungi; Neocallimastigomycota; Neocallimastigomycetes; Neocallimastigales. The record is from RNAcentral.